UUUGCCCCAAGUCCCUCCAUGUUUCUCAUGUCUCUUUCUCUCCCUCUCUCUCACGCAACUACUUCCUAUCAUUCUGAUGAUUUUGUUGAUCCCAUUCCCACCGUUGUACCGCCUGAAAUCCAAAGUUGACACCGCCGAUUCAUGAACUUGGACUAUUUCAUUCUCACCAGAUAAGUUGAUUUCUCUCUCUCUCUGGUUCUUAUUUUCUGCCCUAAUUUAUCACAAAUCGACUCCCUCUCUUAGCAAUCUCUACCUCACACACUUUCACCGCACCACGCCAUCGUUGGCACCUUCUCUCUGAAUACAGCGAAACCCCCUCCGUCACCACAGUCCCCACAUUCGCACGACCCAUCGCUACCUCCGGCCAAUCCCACCAGACCUUCAUUCUCAACAGAAGGAAUUAAUUCCAGAACAACAGAUAACUGAGAGUAGUUGCAGAGAAUUGUGAACCACUUUGAUUUUGAUCUAGUAUCCAGCACCUUUGUUUUGAAGGAAAAUGCUCCAUUGCAGCUCCAUGUAGAGGAGGGAAAGAACCAUCCUAAAAUUCCUAAUCACUAAACUUCAAUUACAAUAGAAAAUAAGUGUGAGCAGCCAUUUACAGCUAUUAUGGUGCAUUUGAUAUUGAUGAUGAAGCUUCUAAAAUUCGUUGUGAGCCCAAAUCAAGUGAUAUGAAAAUGAUAUCAAAAGUGAAAAGAAAGCCACUGAUGUAGCCCCUCUCAAUCACCGCUGUAGCACCUCCAGCUCGACAAUUGCAAAGGGGUAAUAGCGAGGGCUUCAUCUAGGGCUUCGUUGUGCCUGAGCUUGAUUUGAAAAUAAUUGGACAGGGACAUAAUGUUUCAACUAGAAAAUGAGGUGUGCAUUAUCACAUGAAUGAAAACUCAAAGGAGCAUGAUCAUCCAAAAAUGGAUACUCCACGCAAGGCUACUUAAGGAUUCAAGCGAUUAUUUGAAGAUACGUAUAAAUCACGCUUUUGCUCAUGGCAUUUUAUAUGUAUGAUGUCAAGAAAGACGUAUGGACAACUUUGAUAUUUUGGUUUUAAGUGCAACUAGUGUUGUGUUUUGUGAAGGGUUGGCACCCUCUUUGUAAGGGGUUCAAUUUUGGCUUUUGUUAAGAGAGUUUUAAUUUUUGAAUAUUUAAAAGUGAUACAUACCACUCUUGCUAACUAGAUUUUUUAAUGUGGGAGUUAGAUAACCGAUAUGUGAACUAUUGUAUGCCUAAUAUUUUUUUGAGAGUUGCAUAUUAACUAUUUUGUAAAUGUAUUGUAUAUCAACUAUUUUAUUGAAAUGAAUGAAAUAU
This is a long non-coding RNA of Camellia sinensis, 1296 nucleotides long. RefSeq lists it as uncharacterized. Lineage: Eukaryota; Viridiplantae; Streptophyta; Magnoliopsida; Ericales; Theaceae. The record is from RefSeq and is a predicted model, not a curated record.